RNAcentral lists this ribosomal RNA (497 nucleotides) under uncultured bacterium. RNAcentral describes it as "partial 16S ribosomal RNA". It matches the Rfam family "Bacterial small subunit ribosomal RNA", at positions 28 to 507 of the family's 1533-position model. The record is from RNAcentral.
GAUGAACGCUGGCGGCGUGCCUAAUACAUGCAAGUCGAGCGAACGGACGAGAAGCUUGCUUCUCUGAUGUUAGCGGCGGACGGGUGAGUAACACGUGGAUAACCUACCUAUAAGACUGGGAUAACUUCGUGAAACCGGAGCUAAUACCGGAUAAUAUUUUGAACCGCAUGGUUCAAAAGUGAAAGACGGUCUUGCUUUCACUUAUAGAUGGAUCCGCGCUGCAUUAGCUAGUUGGUAAGGUAACGGCUUACCAAGGCAACGAUGCAUAGCCGACCUGAGAGGGUGAUCGGCCACACUGGAACUGAGACACGGUCCAGACUCCUACGGGAGGCAGAAGUAGGGAAUCUUCCGCAAUGGGCGAAAGCCUGACGGAGAAACGCCGCGUGAGUGAUGAAGGUCUUCGGAUCGUAAAACUCGGUUAUUAGGGAAGAACAUAUGUGUAAGUAACUGUGCACAGCUUGACGGUACCUAAUCAGAAAGCCACGGCUAACUACGUG